AAAAAGGGCUUCUGUCGUGAGUGGCACACGUGGGACAACUCAUUUGCUCUUCAUGUGGAAUCGACAUCAAGAGAUUUCGGAAGCAUAAUUUUUGGGUACUUGGGCAGCUGGUGAUCGUUGGUUAAAAAAAAAAAAAACCAAUGUUGAUUCUACCAAUCCCUA
This is a small nuclear RNA of Otolemur garnettii (small-eared galago), 162 nucleotides long. Lineage: Eukaryota; Metazoa; Chordata; Mammalia; Primates; Galagidae. The record is from Ensembl.